RNAcentral lists this unclassified non-coding RNA (492 nucleotides) under Hevea brasiliensis (rubber tree). Lineage: Eukaryota; Viridiplantae; Streptophyta; Magnoliopsida; Malpighiales; Euphorbiaceae. The record is from RNAcentral.
CGAAGAAGAAGGCGCUUGGCGGCAAGCUUAAUUGGGAGCUCUUGAAAUAAACCCAAACGCCAAUUACUUCUUCCUCUCUACUUUUAUUAGGGAUUUUUUAAGAGUAGAAGCCUGUUUUGCAAGAAUAUGGAAGUGGAUCAUGAAGGAUGCAAGACACCGAAAGGCCAUGAGAGUCGAAUACCGACGGCGUUGGCCUGUCCACCGGCGCCGAAGAAGAAACUGGUUUACUUCAUGGAAAGGAUCCCGCCAAAAGACGGUUACUUUCAGCCGCCUGAUCUUGAAGCUUUCUUCUCGAUUGCACCAAGAACAAGAAGGAAGGCUUGUCUUGACUAGCUAGAGCCAAAUGUGAAGGUGAAGGAGGUGAACUCUAAUUCAGCUCUUAAAUCUAAUUUCUUAAAGCUAGUUUAUCUGUCUGCGUUUAAAAUUGUUCAUACAUAGUUCUCAGAUCACGUAUGGUAUUCUUAUAUCUGAGAUUUUUUUUUUAAACGUGUG